CGACCGGAUGCGGAUCUCGAAAGCCUGUCCCAGUUCGGACUGGAGUCUGCAACCCGACUCCACGAAGUUGGAUUCGCUAGUAAUCGCGCAUCAGCCAUGGCGCGGUGAAUACGUUCCCGGGCCUUGUACACACCGCCCGUCAAGCCAUGGGAGCCGGGGGCGCCUGAAGUCCGGGACCGCGAGGACCGGCCUAGGGCGAAACUGGUAACUGGGGCUAAGUCGUAACAAGGUACC
Molecule: ribosomal RNA, 234 nt
Filed under: uncultured bacterium
Lineage: Bacteria
Description: partial 16S ribosomal RNA
Rfam family: Bacterial small subunit ribosomal RNA
Source: RNAcentral